GAUGAACGCUGACAGAAUGCUUAACACAUGCAAGUCAACUUGGACUUCGGUUUGGGUGGCGGACGGGUGAGUAACGCGUAAAGAACUUGCCUCACAGAUAGGGACAACAUUUGGAAACGAAUGCUAAUACCUGAUAUUAUGAUUUUAGGGCAUCCUAGAAUUAUGAAAGCUAUAUGCGCUGUGAGAGAGCUUUGCGUCCCAUUAGCUAGUUGGAGAGGUAACGGCUCACCAAGGCGAUGAUGGGUAGCCGGCCUGAGAGGGUGAUCGGCCACAAGGGGGCUGAGACACGGCCCUUACUCCUACGGGAGGCAGCAGUGGGGAAUAUUGGACAAUGGACCAAGAGUCUGAUCCAGCAAUUCUGUGUGCACGAUGAAGUUUUUCGGAAUGUAAAGUGCUUUCAGUUGGGAAGAAGAAAAUGACGGUACCAACAGAAGAAGUGACGGCUAAAUACGUGCCAGCAGCCGCGGUAAUACGUAUGUCACAAGCGUUAUCCGGAUUUAUUGGGCGUAAAGCGCGUCUAGGUGGUUAUAUAAGUCUGAUGUGAAAAUGCAGGGCUCAACUCUGUAUUGCGUUGGAAACUGUGUAACUAGAGUACUGGAGAGGUAAGCGGAACUACAAGUGUAGAGGUGAAAUUCGUAGAUAUUUGUAGGAAUGCCGAUGGGGAAGCCAGCUUACUGGACAGAUACUGACGCUGAAGCGCGAAAGCGUGGGUAGCAAACAGG
RNAcentral lists this ribosomal RNA (722 nucleotides) under uncultured Fusobacterium sp. RNAcentral's name for it is "bacterial SSU rRNA". It matches the Rfam family "Bacterial small subunit ribosomal RNA", at positions 28 to 776 of the family's 1533-position model. The record is from RNAcentral. Lineage: Bacteria; Fusobacteriati; Fusobacteriota; Fusobacteriia; Fusobacteriales; Fusobacteriaceae.